RNAcentral lists this ribosomal RNA (458 nucleotides) under uncultured bacterium. Its description in RNAcentral is "partial 16S ribosomal RNA". It matches the Rfam family "Bacterial small subunit ribosomal RNA", at positions 338 to 795 of the family's 1533-position model. The record is from RNAcentral.
CCUACGGGAGGCAGCAGUGGGGAAUAUUGCACAAUGGGGGAAACCCUGAUGCAGCGACGCCGCGUGAGUGAAGAAGUAAUUCGUUACGUAAAACUCUAUCAGCAGGGAAGAAAUACUGACCUUACGGUCAGCAGACGGUACCUGAGUAGGAAGCCCCGGCUAACUACGUGCCAGCAGCCGCGGUAUUACAGAGGGGGCAAGCGUUAUCCGGAUUUACUGGGGGUAAAGGGAGCGUAGACGGUGCGCGAAGUCUGGAGUGAAAUGCCUCAGCUUAAAUGCGGAACUGCUGUGGAAACUGGCGAACUAGAGUGCGGGAGGGGUAAGCGGAAUUCCUAGUGUAGCGGUGAAAUGCGGAGAUAUUAGGAGGAACACCGGUGGCGAAGGCGGCUUACUGGACCGUAACUGACGUUGAGGCUCGAAAGCGUGGGGAGCAAACAGGAUUAGAUACCCGAGUAGUC